Molecule: non-coding RNA, 453 nt
Organism: Perca fluviatilis (European perch)
Lineage: Eukaryota; Metazoa; Chordata; Actinopteri; Perciformes; Percidae
Source: the annotation of a RefSeq genome assembly
AGCUCACAUCAGUUCAGCUUCAACAUCAACAUGUUCUCUGUAGCUCUGAUACUGCUGCUGGCUGCUGGAUCCUGUGUGAACAGUAUUGAUCUCAUCCAGACAGACUCAAUGGUUGUGCAGCCUGGACAGUCUCUGACCAUCAGCUGUCAGGUCUCUGGUUAUUCUUUGACUGAUGACAGCUAUGCAACAGGUUGGAUCAGACAGAGUGAAGGAAAACCAAUGGACUGGAUUUGCCAUCGGUCGGGUGGAGGAGGCUUUUACCAAAAUAAUGCUCUGAAGAACAAGUUCCUUUACCACACACUCACGUCUACUAGCUCGGUGACAUUAACCGGACAGAAUCUGCAGCCUGAGGACACAGCUGUGUAUUACUGUGUGCGUGUAAGCGACACAGUGAUGCAAACCACCAACAGACCUGCACAAAUACCCAGCAACCAGCAUGUGACUCAAACAUAA